UUGUAAAUUAGAGUUUUCUAUCAGGGUGUAAAAUGAAUUUUCGUAAAACAUUAAUUUCUUUAAUGUAUUUUAGAUACUUGGCAGAGUUUUACAAAUCACAAGACAGAUAUAAUUUCUAGGCGUUCAUCAAUACUGAUAAUUAUCACUUCGAUGGAAAAAGGUCGUGAUGUGACUAUAAUUGAUAAUGGAAUUGGUGAAUGCGCAUACGACGUCAGGUUGUUGAAUUACUGAGUUGCUAGUAGUUGGUGGCAUCUACAUAUAUCAAUGAGUUCAGCUCUGGUAAGUCCAUUUCAUUAUACUUCUCUAGGAGUUCAUUAAGAAUUAUUGGGCAGAGCUGAGCACAUACAUAUAUACGUAAAUAUAUACGUAAAUUUAUAUAUUGUAUUUUCUAUGUAUGUUCUAUUCGAGUAUCUUAAAAGUCUCCUUACAUU
Non-coding RNA from Megalopta genalis, 431 nucleotides. The record is from RefSeq and is a predicted model, not a curated record. Lineage: Eukaryota; Metazoa; Arthropoda; Insecta; Hymenoptera; Halictidae.